GCUAACGCAGGGAACUGAAACAUCUUAGUACCUGCAGGAAAAGAAAAUAAUAAUGAUUCCCCAAGUAGUGGCGAGCGAACGGGGAUUAGCCCAAACCAAUGUUGUUACGGCAAUAUUGGGGUUGUAGGACCACGAUGUCGCAAGAACUUUAGUGAGAAGAAUUCUUUGGAAAAUGAAACCAUAGACGGUGAUAGUCCGGUAUUCGAAGCUAAACGAAGCGUAGUGGUAUCCUGAGUAGCGCGGGACACGAGGAAUCUUGCGUGAAUCUGCCGGGACCAUCCGGUAAGGCUAAAUACUCCCGAGAGACCGAUAGCGAACCAGUACUGUGAAGGAAAGGUGAAAAGCACUUCGAAUAGAAGAGUGAAAUAGUCCCUGAAACCGUGCGCCUACAAGCGGUCGGAGCAGCGUAAGUUGUGACGGCGUGCCUUUUGCAUAAUGAACCUACGAGUUACUUUUUCCGGCAAGGUUAAGCAUUUCAAAAUGUGUAGCCGAAGCGAAAGCGAGUCUGAACAGGGCGAUUAGUCGGAAGGAGUAGACGCGAAACCAAGUGAUCUACCCUUGGUCAGGUUGAAGGUUAGGUAACACUAACUGGAGGACCGAACCGAUAAGCGUUGAAAAGCUUCCGGAUGAACUGAGGGUGGGGGUGAAAGGCUAAUCAAACUUGGAGAUAGCUCGUACUCCCCGAAAUGCAUUUAGGUGCAGCCUUGGGAAUUACUACUGUGAGGUAGAGCGACUGAUAAGAUGCGAGGGCUUCACCGCCUAUCAAGUCUUGAUAAACUCCGAAUGCGCAGUAGUUCGAUCCCAGGAGUGAGGGCAUGGGUGCUAAGGUCCAUGUCCUAAAGGAGAAGAAUCCGGACCAUCAGCUAAGGUCCCGAAAUAAUUGCUAAGUUGAACUAACGAAGUCAGAUUGCUAAGACAGCUAGGAUGUUGGCUUGGAAGCAGCCAUUCAUUUAAAGAGUGCGUAACAGCUCACUAGUCGAGGAGUUUGGCGUGGAUAAUAAUCGGGCAUUAAGCAAUUUACCGAAGCUAUGGGAUCAGUAAUG
This 1043-nucleotide ribosomal RNA is filed under the name Bacteroides xylanisolvens. RNAcentral describes it as "partial 23S ribosomal RNA". It matches the Rfam family "Bacterial large subunit ribosomal RNA", at positions 179 to 1216 of the family's 2925-position model. Lineage: Bacteria; Pseudomonadati; Bacteroidota; Bacteroidia; Bacteroidales; Bacteroidaceae. The record is from RNAcentral.